AGGGUAACCGACCGUUCUGGUCUGCCUGGGACUGAGUGGAUUCCUGAGAUACGGGACUUUCAGUGCUAAGAUUGGGGUGGU
RNAcentral lists this microRNA precursor (81 nucleotides) under Vicugna pacos (alpaca). Its description in RNAcentral is "miRNA (ENSVPAG00000016808.1)". Lineage: Eukaryota; Metazoa; Chordata; Mammalia; Artiodactyla; Camelidae. The record is from RNAcentral.